Molecule: ribosomal RNA, 118 nt
Filed under: uncultured bacterium
Lineage: Bacteria
Description: partial 16S ribosomal RNA
Rfam family: Bacterial small subunit ribosomal RNA
Source: RNAcentral
UGGGGAAUUUUGGACAAUGGGCGCAAGCCUGAUCCAGCCAUGCCGCGUGCAGGAUGAAGGCAUUCGGGUUGUAAACUGCUUUUGUACGGAACGAAAAAGCUCUCUCUAUACAGGGGGU